GAUGAAGAACGUAGCGAAAUGCGAUAAGUAAUGUGAAUCGCAGAAUUCAGUGAAUCAUCGAAUCUUUGAACGCACAUUGCGCCCGCUAGUAUUCUGGCGGGCAUGCCUGUUCGAGCGUCAUUUCAACCAUCAAGCCCUGCUUGUGUUGGGGUCCUGCGGCUGCCCGCAGGCCCUGAAAACCAGUGGCGGGCUCGCUAGUCACACCGAGCGCAGUAGCACAUCUCGCUCAGGGCGUGCGGCGGGUUCUUGCCGUAAAACACCCCCUUUUUACCAAGGUUGACCUCGGAUCAGGUAGGAAUACCCGCUGAACUUAAGCAUAUCAAUAGCGGAGGA
RNAcentral lists this unclassified non-coding RNA (333 nucleotides) under soil metagenome. RNAcentral's name for it is "partial contains 5.8S ribosomal RNA, internal transcribed spacer 2, and large subunit ribosomal RNA". The stretch from base 1 to 120 matches the Rfam family "5.8S ribosomal RNA", at positions 35 to 154 of the family's 154-position model. The record is from RNAcentral.